CGCUCUAGCGCGGGAGAGUUCUGUAGCUGCCAGCUGCGGACGCCGAAGGAGCAAUACCUCUCCGUCAACCUCUCAGGCACCAGGACCGCGCCAGAUCA
Non-coding RNA from Mycobacterium riyadhense, 98 nucleotides. Lineage: Bacteria; Bacillati; Actinomycetota; Actinomycetes; Mycobacteriales; Mycobacteriaceae. The record is from Rfam.